RNAcentral lists this ribosomal RNA (467 nucleotides) under uncultured bacterium. Its description in RNAcentral is "partial 16S ribosomal RNA". It matches the Rfam family "Bacterial small subunit ribosomal RNA", at positions 28 to 507 of the family's 1533-position model. The record is from RNAcentral.
AGCGAACGCUGGCGGCGUGCUUAACACAUGCAAGUCGAACGGAAAGGCCUAGCUUGCUGGGUACUCGAGUGGCGAACGGGCGAGUAACUCGUGGGUGAUCUGCCCCUGACUUUGGGAUAAGCCUGGGCAACUGGGUCUAAUACCGGAUAUUCAUUUUUCCUCGCAUGGGGAUUUGUGGAAAGCUUUUGCGGUUGGGGAUGGGCCCGCGGCCUAUCAGCUUGUUGGUGGGGUAAUGGCCUACCAAGGCGACGACGGGUAGCCGACCUGAGAGGGUGAUCGGCCACACUAGGACUGAGAGACGGCCCAGACUCCUACGGGAGGCAGAGGUGGGGAAUAUUGCACAAUGGGCGCAAGCCUGAUGCAGCGACGCCGCGUGAGGGAUGACGGCCUUCGGGUUGUAAACCUCUUUCAGCUCCGACGAAGCGCAAGUGACGGUAGGAGCAGAAGAAGCACCGGCCAACUACGUG